GGCAGGGUCCGCGGGCCACAAGGGGGUGGUGUCCAUGUUGUGGUCCAGUUCGGGCCAUCGCGGUUCAGACAGCGGGCUCGGCAUCGCUGGGAAACAAAACAUUCGACAUUGUUCCUGGACGUAUGGCAUUUUCGUUUUGGGGAAAUAUGCACUUGGCUUUGUACCUUUUUUUCAGAUUUUCCUUAACUUAGCUGUGGACACAUAUACUUGCUGAAGAUAGAUAUCAGCUCGCACCUCUUCACCGAAAAUGAAACAAUUACAUGCGCAUACUCAGUCACGUCACCUCUCAAAGGCAACGUCCGUGAACAAACUCACGCCCAACGAGAAAUCCUUAUGAACAGUUUUGGUCCAAGUGCCUUUUUCCAGUCGAUGUCCGUCUGCUCCUCACGAUCUACAGCCAAAAACUUAUCAGUCGGUGCUACUCGCCGAGGGAAAGGAAGAGCCUGUGGAAUGAGGCUGACUUUUUCCGUGUCCUGAGGGAUGUACGCGGUUCUGAAACGUUUUGGAAAAUAUCUAAGUGAACUUCAGACUAGUGUACUUAUGACUAACUUAUUUUGGGACAGUUGCGUGAGGCCCAUUGCGAAAAAAAUAUGUCGACAAGAAUACGUACAAAACUAUUCUUCAAAAACUCAUAUAAACAUGAGAAGUGAGGAAAAAGAAAGAGAAAAAAAAACCUUCAUAGAGCAUUGCUAUCUUAAAGAAACCAAAACAAAUAAUCGCGGAGAACACCCAAAAGCCGCCCAAACCUCGCCCUACCACCACCACCAGCUUCAGAAUCGACGAUUUUCGAAUAGACUAAAACACACGAACCCAAAUGACAACAGCAAAAUAAUCAAAUAAAGAAAGUAAAUCACAAGAAACAAGUAACCCUACAGUACGCCGACGAAGAUCCAGCCGAUCUACCAAAGCUACAACUUCCUAGGUCGUCCCACCGUCCUACACCCAGGACUGUCUGUACCGAAAGGCAGGAAAACGAGCUAUAGCAGUCUCCCUCCCAACGUAGCCCACAGCCCGCCUCACUUGCUGGCUCGGUAUGUGGAAUCUGCCUCACGAUGGUUACGACACCGCAUCCUCGAACACAAAGGCAAAUCCUCCAGGACUGGCCUUCCGCUGAGCAAGCCAUCUUUCUCGGCAAUAAGAGAACACUCAACUUCACUCCUCUCGCCUAGACCUUAUCUUCUCGGAAUCCUUACAUGUACAGAACUAAACAACACAACCACCGCAACAACCUUGUUCAUCCAAUAGGCCUUCCCUCUCAACCAACAUCCACUUUGAUUAGUUUACCAUAUUGCUGGUUAUAGUUUUUUUGUUUUUUUGGGGGGGUUAUGUUAUUUUAUUUAAUUUACAUGUCUUAAUGUAUGAUUAUCUUAUGUUUUCAUUAUGUCCAUGUAUAUAUUGUUCUUGUUUACUUUUGCGUAUCUAUAAUUAAGGUUCAGAACCAAACAUUUGUAAUUAUUUUUGUCUAACUGACUUUUACAUUGGUUCUUUUUGACAGUACGUAUGAUG
Molecule: long non-coding RNA, 1506 nt
Organism: Penaeus chinensis
Lineage: Eukaryota; Metazoa; Arthropoda; Malacostraca; Decapoda; Penaeidae
Exons: 3
Source: RefSeq, a predicted model, not a curated record